This 497-nucleotide ribosomal RNA is filed under the name uncultured bacterium. Its description in RNAcentral is "partial 16S ribosomal RNA". It matches the Rfam family "Bacterial small subunit ribosomal RNA", at positions 28 to 507 of the family's 1533-position model. The record is from RNAcentral.
GGUGAACGCUGGCGGCGUGCCUAAUACAUGCAAGUCGAGCGAACGGACGAGAAGCUUGCUUCCCUGAUGUUAGCGGCGGACGGGUGAGUAACACGUGGAUAACCUACCUAUAAGACUGGGAUAACUUCGGGAAACCGUAGCUAAUACCGGAUAAUAUUUUGAACCGCAUGGUUCAAAAGUGAAAGACGGUCUUGCUGUCACUUAUAGAUGGAUCCGCGCUGCAUUAGCUAGUUGGUAAGGUAACGGCUUACCAAGGCAACGAUGCAUAGCCGACCUGAGAGGAUGAUCGGCCACACUGGAACUGAGACACGGUCCAGACUCCUACGGGAGGCAGCAGUAGGGAAUCUUCCGCAAUGGGCGAAAGCCUGACGGAGCAACGCCGCGUGAGUGAUGAAGGUCUUCGGAUCGUAAAACUCUGUUAUUAGGGAAGAACAUAUGUGUAAGUAACUGUGCACAUCUUGACGGUACCUAAUCAGAAAGCCACGGCUAACUACGUG